GACGAACGCUGGCGGCGUGCUUAACACAUGCAAGUCGAACGGAAAGGCCCUGCUUUUGUGUGGUGCUCGAGUGGCGAACGGGUGAGUAACACGUGAGUAACCUGCCCUUGACUUUGGGAUAACUUCAGGAAACUGGGGCUAAUACCGGAUAGGAGCUCCUGCUGCAUGGUGGGGGUUGGAAAGUUUCGGCGGUUGGGGAUGGACUCGCGGCUUAUCAGCUUGUUGGUGGGGUAGUGGCUUACCAAGGCUUUGACGGGUAGCCGGCCUGAGAGGGUGACCGGCCACAUUGGGACUGAGAUACGGACCAGACUCCUACGGGAGGCAGCAGUGGGGAAUAUUGCACAGUGGGCGGAAGCCUGAUGCAGCAACGCCGCGUGCGGGAUGACGGCCUUCGGGUUGUAAACCGCUUUCGCCUGUGACGAAGCGUGAGUGACGGUAAUGGGUAAAGAAGCACCGGCUAACUACGUG
RNAcentral lists this ribosomal RNA (468 nucleotides) under uncultured bacterium. Its description in RNAcentral is "partial 16S ribosomal RNA". It matches the Rfam family "Bacterial small subunit ribosomal RNA", at positions 28 to 507 of the family's 1533-position model. The record is from RNAcentral.